UUUUGGGCCCUGUGCAACAGUGUGCUGUGAACCCCGCCAGGUUCGGAAGGAAGCAACGGUAAGCAGUUACCUGGGUGCCACAGGACUCCCUGAAAGC
This 97-nucleotide signal recognition particle RNA is filed under the name Nitrospirota bacterium. RNAcentral describes it as "Nitrospirae bacterium (sediment metagenome) signal recognition particle sRNA small type". It matches the Rfam family "Bacterial small signal recognition particle RNA". Rfam says of the family: The signal recognition particle (SRP) is a universally conserved ribonucleoprotein involved in the co-translational targeting of proteins to membranes. Archaeal SRP consists of a 7S RNA and homologues of the eukaryotic SRP19 and SRP54 proteins. In most bacteria, the SRP consists of a 4.5S RNA and the Ffh protein (a homologue of the eukaryotic SRP54 protein). The record is from RNAcentral. Lineage: Bacteria; Pseudomonadati; Nitrospirota.